UACGGGGGGGGCAAGCGUUAUUCGGAAUUACUGGGCGUAAAGAGCGUGUAGGUGGUUAUCUAAGUCAGUUGUUAAAUAUCACGGCCUAACUGUGAAACUGCGAUUGAUACUGGAUGACUAGAGGGCAGGAGAGAGAAGUGGAAUUCUCGGAGUAGCGGUAAAAUGCGUAGAUCUCGAGAGGAACACCAGUGGCGAAGGCGGCUCACUGGCCCGGUACUGACGCUGAGGUGCGAAAGCGUGGGGAGCAAACAGG
RNAcentral lists this ribosomal RNA (253 nucleotides) under uncultured bacterium. RNAcentral's name for it is "partial 16S ribosomal RNA". It matches the Rfam family "Bacterial small subunit ribosomal RNA", at positions 524 to 776 of the family's 1533-position model. The record is from RNAcentral.